CUGACGUUAGCGGCGGACGGGUGAGUAACACGUGGGUAACCUACCUAUAAGACUGGGAUAACUCCGGGAAACCGGGGCUAAUACCGGAUAAUACAUGAAACCGCAUGGUUUCAUGAUGAAAGACGGUUUUGCUGUCACUUAUAGAUGGACCCGCGGCGUAUUAGCUAGUUGGUAAGGUAACGGCUUACCAAGGCAACGAUACGUAGCCGACCUGAGAGGGUGAUCGGCCACACUGGAACUGAGACACGGUCCAGACUCCUACGGGAGGCAGCAGAC
This 276-nucleotide ribosomal RNA is filed under the name uncultured Staphylococcus sp. RNAcentral's name for it is "partial 16S ribosomal RNA". It matches the Rfam family "Bacterial small subunit ribosomal RNA", at positions 86 to 354 of the family's 1533-position model. The record is from RNAcentral. Lineage: Bacteria; Bacillati; Bacillota; Bacilli; Caryophanales; Staphylococcaceae.